This 253-nucleotide ribosomal RNA is filed under the name uncultured bacterium. Its description in RNAcentral is "partial 16S ribosomal RNA". It matches the Rfam family "Bacterial small subunit ribosomal RNA", at positions 524 to 776 of the family's 1533-position model. The record is from RNAcentral.
UACGGAGGGUGCGAGCGUUAAUCGGAAUUACUGGGCGUAAAGCGCAUGCAGGCGGUUACUCAAGUCAGAUGUGAAAUCCCCGAGCUUAACUCGGGACGGUCAUUUGAAACUGUGUAACUAGAGUCUUGUAGAGGGGGGUAGAAUUUCAGGUGUAGCGGUGAAAUGCGUAGAGAUCUGAAGGAAUACCGGUGGCGAAGGCGGCCCCCUGGACAAAGACUGACGCUCAGAUGCGAAAGCGUGGGUAGCAAACGGG